This 338-nucleotide unclassified non-coding RNA is filed under the name soil metagenome. RNAcentral's name for it is "partial contains 5.8S ribosomal RNA, internal transcribed spacer 2, and large subunit ribosomal RNA". The stretch from base 1 to 120 matches the Rfam family "5.8S ribosomal RNA", at positions 35 to 154 of the family's 154-position model. The record is from RNAcentral.
GAUGAAGAACGUAGUGAAAUGCGAUAAGUAGUGUGAAUUGCAGACUUUAGUGAAUCAUCGAAUCUUUGAACGCACAUUGCGCCCCUUGGUAUUCCAUUGGGCAUGCCUGUUCGAGCGUCAUUUACAACCUCAAGCUCCGCUUGGUGUUGGGUGUCUGUCUGCGCUUCUUGCGAAGACUCGCCCUAAAUCUAUUGGCAGCGGCAUCGCCGGCUUCUCGCGCAGUACAAUGCGUUAUGGAAGGCUACCGGCGGGCUUGCGUCCAUCAAGUAACCCCCCAAGUUUGACCUCGAAUCAGGUAGGGAUACCCGCUGAACUUAAGCAUAUCAAUAAGCGGAGGA